This 1343-nucleotide ribosomal RNA is filed under the name uncultured bacterium. RNAcentral's name for it is "16S ribosomal RNA". It matches the Rfam family "Bacterial small subunit ribosomal RNA", at positions 28 to 1378 of the family's 1533-position model. The record is from RNAcentral.
GACGAACGCUGGCGGCGUGCUUAACACAUGCAAGUCGAACGGAAAGGCCCUGCUUUUGUGGGGUGCUCGAGUGGCGAACGGGUGAGUAACACGUGAGUAACCUGCCCUUGACUUUGGGAUAACUUCAGGAAACUGGGGCUAAUACCGGAUAGGAGCUCCUGCUGCAUGGUGGGGGUUGGAAAGUUUCGGCGGUUGGGGAUGGACUCGCGGCUUAUCAGCUUGUUGGUGGGGUAGUGGCUUACCAAGGCUUUGACGGGUAGCCGGCCUGAGAGGGUGACCGGCCACAUUGGGACUGAGAUACGGCCCAGACUCCUACGGGAGGCAGCAGUGGGGAAUAUUGCACAAUGGGCGGAAGCCUGAUGCAGCAACGCCGCGUGCGGGAUGACGGCCUUCGGGUUGUAAACCGCUUUCGCCUGUGACGAAGCGUGAGUGACGGUAAUGGGUAAAGAAGCACCGGCUAACUACGUGCCGGCAGCCGCGGUGAUACGUAGGGUGCGAGCGUUGUCCGGAUUUAUUGGGCGUAAAGGGCUCGUGGGUGGUUGAUCGCGUCGGAAGUGUAAUCUUGGGGCUUAACCCUGAGCGUGCUUUCGAUACGGGUUGACUUGAGGAAGGUAGGGGAGAAUGGAAUUCCUGGUGGAGCGGUGGAAUGCGCAGAUAUCAGGAGGAACACCAGUGGCGAAGGCGGUUCUCUGGGCCUUUCCUGACGCUGAGGAGCGAAAGCGUGGGGAGCGAACAGGCUUAGAUACCCUGGUAGUCCACGCUGUAAACGGUGGGUACUAGGUGUGGGGUCCAUUCCACGGGUUCCGUGCCGUAGCUAACGCUUUAAGUACCCCGCCUGGGGAGUACGGCCGCAAGGCUAAAACUCAAAGGAAUUGACGGGGCCCCGCACAAGCGGCGGAGCAUGCGGAUUAAUUCGAUGCAACGCGUAGAACCUUACCUGGGUUUGACAUGGAUCGGGAGCGCUCAGAGAUGGGUGUGCCUCUUUUGGGGUCGGUUCACAGGUGGUGCAUGGCUGUCGUCAGCUCGUGUCGUGAGAUGUUGGGUUAAGUCCCGCAACGAGCGCAACCCUUGUUCACUGUUGCCAGCACGUUAUGGUGGGGACUCAGUGGAGACCGCCGGGGUCAACUCGGAGGAAGGUGGGGAUGACGUCAAGUCAUCAUGCCCCUUAUGUCCAGGGCUUCACGCAUGCUACAAUGGCUGGUACAGAGAGUGGCGAGCCUGUGAGGGUGAGCGAAUCUCGGAAAGCCGGUCUCAGUUCGGAUUGGGGUCUGCAACUCGACCUCAUGAAGUCGGAGUCGCUAGUAAUCGCAGAUCAGCAACGCUGCGGUGAAUACGUUCCCGGG